AUUAUAUUAUUAUAUUAAAUGAUCUGAAUGGCUUCUUCAAGCUUAUGAGAUUUACUAUUCUUAGUUAAAGAAUUUACUUUGCUUUUCAUCUUCAAUCACUACAGAAUAAUGAGGAAUAUUGUCUGAACUUCUUACUGAGAGGAAGUAUAUCUAAUCAGUAUGUUUAGGGAAAGCUUCCUGGUCAGAGCUAUAACUCGACCAGAUCCAGCCUUGAGGAGUGUUGUGGUUUUGUGUGUGUGUGUGUGUGCACUCUGUUGUCACAGGAUGUUCGGAGCGGAACCGAUCGUCUGACGAGACGACUCGAAGCCUAAAAACUCAGCUCGAUGACGUCAGUAGUUCACAGUGUGCCAAAACCAGAAUAUGACUGACGUCCAGAUAAUCGAUGGAGACAUUCUUCUGACGCACAGCCAGAUGUAGCAUCUACGAACACCUUCUUGAACGACUUUCUGCUGAAGAACCUGCAAACUAUUCUUCAGUAAACUGUUCUGGUCUUCAGUGAUCCUAUCUGGUCCCAUCUUGGUCUUUAACUGUAAAUUCCCCUACAAUGGCCUCCCUACGCACUUUGCAAGGCGUGAUCACCAUGUUAACUUUUUCACCAUGAUGGAAUGUGGACAUCACCAUAGGAUGAUGCCGCAAUACCACUUCUGUACUUUUUCCUGCUACACUUCACAAAUGGUCACAAUUUGAUUGCUUUCAGCUGCUUGUGUACUAUAGAUGAUGCAAAAUAAUGUAACCUAAAUACAUAUGCAGUGACCACGGAGUGUAUAAUGUACAUUAUGCUAUAUGAAAAAUAUAGGCGAUAAAGUUAUGCAUUGGUUAUAAACACCUCAGUUAUUUUGAUAAGAAUAUCUCAAAUAAAAUUUCAUGACUUUCAAGUACAGCGGUUAAGUGAGAUCGAACUUAAAAGCACAUCUUUCAUGCAUCUUAAAGUUCUUGACACCAUGCACCAUUUUCUCUCACUUCAGCGUCAGGGUGUCAUCUUCUAUAACCUCACCCUCCUUGUUCUUGUCCUUCUUGAAUCACAUCCUUAAGUUUCAGGGAGGACGAAACUCUUUCGCCAUGUUAUUAUUGUAAUUACAAAUCACAGGUAUCAUCGCAGUUUGAUAGAACAGACAAACCUUAACCGUGUAUAGUUGUUAGUAUUCAUACAGCGCCGCCCGGCGGGUCUCUGCUAUCUUUAGAACGCUAACUGAUUUUAGACUGGAGUGACUAAUUUACCUAAGGGACAAGCUUAGCGGCUGUUCUGCGGUAUGAAUAAUCACUCAGCGCUAAAAGACGGAACAUCGCAAUGAGUCACGGUGUUAAGUGAUUCAUAAAAUCACUUUUUUUUAAAUUCAUUUUAUUGUUCUUUUUAAAUCGAAUCCUUUUCUCUUCUCCACCCGUUUACAAACUGAACUUGAUUUCAUUCAACAAGUAGAAAAUACACUAAUAAUAACAGACCUGAGAAAGGGGAAGGGAAGGGAGAAAAAAAAAAAAAACAGGUCUCUCAUCACACUGGCACUUACAUCAGCUGGAAGGCAGCUCAGCUUGCCUUUAAAACCAACAUUCCCCAAGAACAAUAAACAAUGCCAUGAUAUAUAAAAUAUAUUAAGGAAUAAAUAUCUCAUUUAUAGGUUAUGCGUCAGCUUGGAGUAGUAAAAUAAUCUUCGUCGAGCCCUUUAUAGAAAUGCAGGACAUCCUCUUGAGAACGGCUGCAGCAAUCCAAUCGCACCCGUACGUGCGAAUGUGAGCGUUAAGAAAUAACAUGAUGCACCGAUCCAAUUUUGGCUAGUAUGGUAUUCUCAGGAAGGCAGGAAACUUCAUGAUCGUACCUUGCUUUCAGCGUCACACAGGCGUGUGUACACAGCUGAUGGCAAUGCAGGAGCAUUCUCUGUGUAAUUAGAAUAGCUGCUGGAUGCCUGAUCUACUCCUGUCCUACGCUCGUCCUCUAGACCAGGGGUCAUCGACUGG
This is a long non-coding RNA of Ictalurus punctatus (channel catfish), 1950 nucleotides long. RefSeq lists it as uncharacterized. The record is from RefSeq and is a predicted model, not a curated record. The transcript has 2 exons. NCBI's taxonomy places the organism in Eukaryota, Metazoa, Chordata, Actinopteri, Siluriformes, Ictaluridae.